GGGGUGGUAGCUUAAUUGGUAGAGCGUUUGAUUGUCGAUCAAGCCGGUGAGGGUUCAAGUCCCUCUCAUCCCGCCA
RNAcentral lists this transfer RNA (76 nucleotides) under hydrothermal vent metagenome. RNAcentral's name for it is "tRNA-Asp-GTC". It matches the Rfam family "tRNA". From Rfam's summary of the family: Transfer RNA (tRNA) molecules are approximately 80 nucleotides in length. The record is from RNAcentral.